GCAAGUCGAGCGGUAACAUUUCAAUGCUUGCUUUUGAAGAGGACGAGCGGCGGACGGGUGAGCAAUGCCUAGGAAAUUGCCCUGAUGUGGGGGAUAACAAUUGGAAACGAUGGCUAAUACCGCAUGAUGCCUACGGGCCAAAGAUGGGGACCUUAGAGCCUCUCGCGUCAGGAUAUGCCUAGGUGGGAUUAGCUAGUUGGUGAGGUAAUGGCUCACCAAGGCGACGAUCCCUAGCUGGUCUGAGAGGAUGAUC
Molecule: ribosomal RNA, 253 nt
Filed under: uncultured bacterium
Lineage: Bacteria
Description: partial 16S ribosomal RNA
Rfam family: Bacterial small subunit ribosomal RNA
Source: RNAcentral